Molecule: transfer RNA, 71 nt
Filed under: Gadopsis marmoratus
Lineage: Eukaryota; Metazoa; Chordata; Actinopteri; Centrarchiformes; Percichthyidae
Description: tRNA-Asp
Rfam family: tRNA
About the family: Transfer RNA (tRNA) molecules are approximately 80 nucleotides in length. Their secondary structure includes four short double-helical elements and three loops (D, anti-codon, and T loops).
Source: RNAcentral
AAAACACUAGUAAAAUAUUAUAACACUUCCUUGUCGAGGGAGAAUUGAGGGUUAAAGUCCCCCGUGUUUUG